This 484-nucleotide ribosomal RNA is filed under the name uncultured bacterium. Its description in RNAcentral is "bacterial SSU rRNA". It matches the Rfam family "Bacterial small subunit ribosomal RNA", at positions 28 to 507 of the family's 1533-position model. The record is from RNAcentral.
GAUGAACGCUAGCUACAGGCUUAACACAUGCAAGUCGAGGGCAGCACAGUGUAGCAAUACACGGGUGGCGACCGGCGCACGGGUGCGUAACGCGUAUCCAACUUCCCGUUACUCAGGGAUAGCCUUCCGAAAGGGAGAUUAAUACUUGAUGGUGUUGAAAUUCCGCAUGUUAUUUCAACUAAAGAUUUAUCGGUAACGGAUGGGAAUGCGUGACAUUAGGUAGAUGGCGGGGUAACGGCCCACCAUGCCUACGAUGUCUAGGGGUUCUGAGAGGAAGGUCCCCCACACUGGAACUGAGACACGGUCCAGACUCCUACGGGAGGCAGCAGUGAGGAAUAUUGGUCAAUGGUCGGAAGACUGAACCAGCCAAGUAGCGUGAAGGAUGAAGGUUCUAUGGAUUGUAAACUUCUUUUAUACGGGAAUAAAACCUCCCACGUGUGGGAGCUUGUAUGUACCGUAUGAAUAAGCAUCGGCUAACUCCGUG